This 993-nucleotide long non-coding RNA is filed under the name Homo sapiens (human). Its description in RNAcentral is "LNC_000725". Lineage: Eukaryota; Metazoa; Chordata; Mammalia; Primates; Hominidae. The record is from RNAcentral.
AAUCCCAGCACUUUGGGAAGGCCAAAGGAUCACUUAAACCAAGGAGUUUGAGACCAGCCUGGGCAAUGUAGGAAGACCUCAUCUCUAUUAAAUAAAAAAAGAAAAGAAAAAGAUGAUCUAAAUCUUAUUAAAGUAAAUAUAAAAAAGAAAUACUCCCCACAUCAUUCUGUAAGGCCAGUAUAACCCUGAUUCUAAAACCAGACAAGGACAGUACAUGAGAGGAAACAUGUUUAAUUUCACUCCUGAAUAUAAACCCUUUUAAAAUUUAGCAGACCCACAAGUAAAUUAAAAUGCAUUACAGUCCAAUAAAAGCUUUGGGUUUUUUCUUUACGACUAUCCCAUGACAUAGUUUAGUGUAUCAUGGAACUAUAAAGAUUGUUUACUAUCAGGAAAUCUGUAAUAACAUUGGAAAACAAAAGCUGAAAAGCCUUCGGAUCAUUUCAAAAGAUGCAGAAAAACCAUCUGAUAAAAAUCCAAUAUAAAUUGAUGAUAAAAUUAAGAAUAUAGGCCAGGCACGGUGGCUCACACCUGUAAUCCCAAAGUGCUGGGAUUACAGGCGUGAGCCACUGCGCCCGGCGCCAACACCUAAUUUUUAAAGCGUAUAAUCAUUUGAUAAUUUCUACAGAUGCUAAAAAGGUAUGACAAAAUUCAGUAUCUAUUCAUGUGUAAAAUGCUCAAUACAACAGGAAUUGAAGGUAUUUCUUAAUGUGAUAAUAUAGAACGGGCAGGAAUUUAUAAAAUGUGGGGACAUCAGUAUCUGCCAUAUAGGACUUUCGAAAGGAUAAGACAUUUACAUUCAGAAAGUCAAGUAUCACUGAGCCUGGCCUAAGGCCAGAACUCAAUACAUGGCAGUGGCAGGCACACACUAUUUUGGAGAUAACGAUGCACAAGUACUAUUUUUCUAACACAAAUGGGAGUUCUUACGGCUGUGUGAGAAAGGCCAGGGUGCUCACCUUCCAGCCAAGAGCAUGCAGCCCCACCACGGCUCCAUAG